This 398-nucleotide ribosomal RNA is filed under the name uncultured bacterium. RNAcentral's name for it is "partial 16S ribosomal RNA". It matches the Rfam family "Bacterial small subunit ribosomal RNA", at positions 338 to 733 of the family's 1533-position model. The record is from RNAcentral.
CCUACGGGUGGCUGCAGUGAGGAAUAUUGGUCAAUGGGCGCGAGCCUGAACCAGCCAAGCAGCGUGAAGGAUGACUGUCCUACGGGUUGUAACCUUCUUUUAUAAAGGAAUAAAGUGAGGCACGUGAGCCUUUCUGAAUGUACUUUACGAAUAAGGCUCGGCUAACUCCGGGCCAGCAGCCGCGGUAAUACGGAGGAUCCGAGCGUUAUCCGGGUUUAUUGGGGUUAAAGGGGACGUAGUGGGGUAUUUAAGUAAGAUGGGAAAGUUGACGGCUCAACCGUAGAAGUGCAAUUGAUACUGGCAGUAUGGAGGACGGUAGAGGUAGGCGGAAUUCGUGGUGUAGCGGUGAAAUGCUUAGAGAUCACGAAGAACUCCGAUUGCGAAGGCAGCUUACUAAA